AGAUUUCUCAUAUCCCAGACGUACGCAUAGAUGAGUACUUAUAGAUCAUGAAGGAAACGAUGGGUGAAAAAAGUGUAGAAAAGAAUAUUCUCUUUGGUGAGUUUGAUCUGUGUUCCUCGAAUUUAUAAUGCUCAUUCAGGAUAUGUAUCAUUAUUUGUGCUAAUCCUCAUAUCUUAUUUGGGUCACCAAAAAUUGCAGAGCUCUGUUGUUAAGGACACUGAACCUAUUUUACAUCUGAAAUCAAGUUUUAGGUAAUUCAAUUCCUUUCAUGUGCAAUAUCAAAAUUGAAAUUGGAUAUAAUUUCUAGAUUCUAUACAUUGAUUACGUAGCAGAAGGCAGAAGGUCAUGCUGACUUAUGUGCAGAAGUUGCAGUUAUGUUUGCAAACGUUGAGGCCUGUAAAUUUGUGUUAAAGUUUCAUAUAUAUGGCGCAGGGAAAGAUCUCAUAUUGGAAGGGCUCAAUCAUUUUUGAAUUCUUGGUGGAUCUCAUGCAAUACUAUGGUGUGGUAUAAUUAUUAAUGUCUAUCCAAAUUGUUUUUACACUCAAUUAAACCUCCUUACUUGAAAAAUCACUUCAUGUUUAUUGUUACAGCAUUAAAUUUUCUGGCUCCAUUUCCACUCUUUCUUUUAUUUUUUUUGGUGAUUUCCUUCACAAAGUAGCUGUCGAAUGAAGAGAAAAUAUUGGAAGAUGGACCUCCAUACAAUACUUCAUGAGCAUGUCUUUGAAGCCAUCAACUUUGUCAAGUGAAAGACCAAAAAAACUUUGGAGAUUGAUAUUGUGGCCUUUUGUUAGCUCUUUGUAGGAUUAUGACUUCUAAAUUUUGAGUUCAAGCAGCAAGACUGAAUAGAAAUAGAGAUAAGUUUACAUCAUCAACUCGAGCUUGUCUCAAGUUCUCAUCACGGUGCCAACAUCCUUCCGCUAAAAUC
Molecule: unclassified non-coding RNA, 925 nt
Filed under: Hevea brasiliensis (rubber tree)
Lineage: Eukaryota; Viridiplantae; Streptophyta; Magnoliopsida; Malpighiales; Euphorbiaceae
Source: RNAcentral